ACGCUCGACACCUACGGGNGGCAGCAGUGGGGAAUAUUGCACAAUGGGGGAAACCCUGAUGCAGCAACGCCGCGUGAGUGAAGAAGUAUUUCGGUAUGUAAAGCUCUAUCAGCAGGGAAGAUAAUGACGGUACCUGACUAAGAAGCUCCGGCUAAAUACGUGCUAGCAGCCGCGGUAAUCUGAGCGGGCUGGCAAGGC
This 198-nucleotide ribosomal RNA is filed under the name uncultured bacterium. RNAcentral describes it as "partial 16S ribosomal RNA". It matches the Rfam family "Bacterial small subunit ribosomal RNA", at positions 328 to 539 of the family's 1533-position model. The record is from RNAcentral.